RNAcentral lists this long non-coding RNA (1221 nucleotides) under Anser cygnoides (Swan goose). RNAcentral describes it as "lncRNA (ENSACDG00005011229.1)". Lineage: Eukaryota; Metazoa; Chordata; Aves; Anseriformes; Anatidae. The record is from RNAcentral.
ACAGGAAGCAGGAGAUGGGGGGGCUUCAAAAAGCCCCCACCCCUGGAGGAGAGGCCACCCCAGCUCCAUUUGCUCACCGUGGAAGGGAGAAGACAGCAGCAGCACGCCCGCGGAGAGCGGUUUUUCCCUCCUGUCCCAUCCGUCGGGCACCAAAAACCACGGCAGGAGUCGCUGGAUUGUUUUUUUUUUUUUAACUUUUGCACAGCAACUUUUAUUUCCCCACUAAACAGAGUAACAGGGCAAAGAGACAUAACAGCAUCGCGGGGUCACACGAGGGCCGGCAGGGGUUUUGUAAGCACGCGCGAGAUCACACCUAAAACGAGGCUUUCUCCCCCCCCUCCUCCCCCCCACUUCCCCACCUGCACUGGGACCAAAAUCCCCCAAAGCCGACCCCAAAACCUGGGCGCACGGAGACUCCGGCUCGGCAGCACGCCCACGGCUCUCGCCACGGCUUUUUUGGGUCGGCGGCCGGCACCCCGAGCUCGCCCUGCCUCGCUCCUGGGCCGCGGGAUCCCAGCGCUCGGCCCUACAAAACCCUCGGCAACAACAGGAAGGGCGGGGAGGGGGGGGAAAAAAGAUCGCGGGGGGGGGGUUUUGCUCUCUAGUGGCAGCAAAAGACAGGCUCGGCCCCUUCCCGGGGAAGGGAGAAGCGAGGAUGGGAGGUGGGGGGGCGGAAAAAUGCUAAAAAGGUGACCUGCAGAGCAACGGUGUCAGAAAACCAGGGGUUGGGUACGGGACCUUUCCUCCUCACACAGGUUUUUUUUUCUAGCCCUCGAGAGCUUUCCGGGGGUGCACGAAGCAGGCGGCUUUGCUACGGCUGAAGGCAGGAAGCGAGAAACCCCCCCCUAAGGGAGCUUUUUCUCCCCGGUUUGCCACGGGGGCGGCCAACUUCAAACGACGAAAAGGAAAAGAGGGCUGCUUACAGAGCGGGCCGGAGCGCGAGUGAAGAGGAGAAAACCCUAUACAGGGGGGCUACUGAAGCAGCCAGGUUUGUCCACCCUCGACGGUUGAUGCCCCCCUCCAGAAAAACCUUUUUUCGGGGUAAAAGAGACCUGAAGUUUUUAAAUGCAAGAACGAGGGGAAAAAAAAGAGGAAACCCCCAAAGCUGAACUAGGGACGCGGACAAGUUUCGGGGCUUUUUUGUCUGAAAGCAAGGGGAAAAAGGGAACGGGGUCGGGGCACUACUUGCAGGUCACCUCGGGGGAGAGGGGUUUGGGGGGG